UACGGAGGGUGCAAGCGUUGUUCGGAAUCACUGGGCGUAAAGCGCGUGUAGGCGGCUAUCUAAGUCUGAUGUGAAAGCCCUGGGCUCAACUCAGGAAGUGCAUUGGAUACUGGAUAGCUGGAGUACCGGAGAGGAGGGUGGAAUUCCUGGUGUAGCGGUGAAAUGCGUAGAUAUCGGGAGGAACACCUGUGGCGAAAGCGGCUCACUGGACCACAACUGACGCUGAGGCGCGAAAGCUAGGGGAGCAAACAGG
This 253-nucleotide ribosomal RNA is filed under the name uncultured bacterium. RNAcentral describes it as "partial 16S ribosomal RNA". It matches the Rfam family "Bacterial small subunit ribosomal RNA", at positions 524 to 776 of the family's 1533-position model. The record is from RNAcentral.